UGGCGAACGGGUGAGUGACGCGUGAGGAACCUGCCUCAAAGAGGGGGACAACAGUUGGAAACGACUGCUAAUACCGCAUAAGCCCACGACCCGGCAUCGGGAAGAGGGAAAAGGAGCAAUCCGCUUUGAGAUGGCCUCGCGUCCGAUUAGCUAGUUGGUGAGGUAACGGCCCACCAAGGCGACGAUCGGUAGCCGGACUGAGAGGUUGAACGGCCACAUUGGGACUGAGACACGGCCCAG
RNAcentral lists this ribosomal RNA (240 nucleotides) under uncultured bacterium. RNAcentral describes it as "partial 16S ribosomal RNA". It matches the Rfam family "Bacterial small subunit ribosomal RNA", at positions 96 to 334 of the family's 1533-position model. The record is from RNAcentral.